Molecule: long non-coding RNA, 539 nt
Organism: Peromyscus californicus insignis
Lineage: Eukaryota; Metazoa; Chordata; Mammalia; Rodentia; Cricetidae
Exons: 3
Source: RefSeq, a predicted model, not a curated record
CACCGACUUGAAAGAGCCGUAGCCUCUUACCUCUCCUUCCAGGAAAGAGAUUUUUUCUAAAAGCUGCAAUAUUAGGAGCUGCUUCUGCUGCACUUUUUUCUUUAAUGAUUCAAUCUGGAAAGAGACAAGAGGAAAAUCGUCAGAUGAAAAUGCAGAACUGUACGACUGCAAGGGUGGGUCUCAUGUAUCUCAGGCUUGUCUCCAGUUGCUAUACAGCUGGACGUGACCUUGAACCUCUGAUCUUCCUGCCUCCACAUCCUGGGAGCUGGGAUUUCAGGAAUAGCCACAAGGCCCACAGGCACACGUAUUCAAGAUCAGGAUCGAAGGGCUGAGAGAAUAUUAACGUUAAGGAAGAAGCCACACCUGUCAUCACCAACACACUGCUGUUAUUGCUUCCUCCCUGAGGACCCCCCCCACACACACACACACACCACCACCACCACCACGGCUAUCUACUUCAAACUUUGUGCACUCUCUCCUUGAAAUAUUUGUCAAAGAUGUGUAAAUGCUAUUCCGGAAUGUUUCUGAAUACUGAGAAA